Molecule: ribosomal RNA, 460 nt
Filed under: uncultured bacterium
Lineage: Bacteria
Description: partial 16S ribosomal RNA
Rfam family: Bacterial small subunit ribosomal RNA
Source: RNAcentral
CCUACGGGUGGCAGCAGUGAGGAAUAUUGGUCAAUGGACGAGAGUCUGAACCAGCCAAGUAGCGUGAAGGAUGACUGCCCUAUGGGUUGUAAACUUCUUUUAUAAAGGAAUAAAACGAGGCACGUGUGCCUUUUUGCAUGUACUUUAUGAAUAAGGAUCGGCUAACUCCGUGCCAGCAGCCGCGGUAAUACGGAGGAUCCGAGCGUUAUCCGGAUUUAUUGGGUUUAAAGGGAGCGUAGAUGGGUUGUUAAGUCAGUUGUGAAAUUUUGCGGCUCAACCGUAAAAUUGCAAUUGAUACUGGCAGUCUUGAGUACAGUUGAGGUAAGCGGAAUUCGUGGUGUAGCGGUGAAAUGCUUAGAUAUCACGAAGAACCCCGAUUGCGAAGGCAGCUUACUAAACUGUGACUGACAUUGAUGCUCGAAAGUGUGGGUAUCAAACAGGAUUAGAUACCCGGGUAGUC